GGCCGAGUGGCGGAAUUGGCAGACGCUCUGGACUUAAAAUCCAGUGGGGGGUAACCCCCGUACCGGUUCGAGUCCGGUCUCGGCUAC
Molecule: transfer RNA, 87 nt
Filed under: Adhaeretor mobilis
Lineage: Bacteria; Pseudomonadati; Planctomycetota; Planctomycetia; Pirellulales; Lacipirellulaceae
Description: Planctomycetes bacterium HG15A2 tRNA-Leu
Rfam family: tRNA
About the family: Transfer RNA (tRNA) molecules are approximately 80 nucleotides in length. Their secondary structure includes four short double-helical elements and three loops (D, anti-codon, and T loops).
Source: RNAcentral